RNAcentral lists this ribosomal RNA (253 nucleotides) under uncultured bacterium. RNAcentral's name for it is "partial 16S ribosomal RNA". It matches the Rfam family "Bacterial small subunit ribosomal RNA", at positions 524 to 776 of the family's 1533-position model. The record is from RNAcentral.
UACGUAGGGGGCUAGCGUUGUCCGGAAUCAUUGGGCGUAAAGCGCGCGUAGGCGGCCCGGUAAGUCCGCUGUAAAAGUCAAAGGCUCAACCUUUGAAUGUCAGUGGAUACUGCCGGGCUAGAGUCCGGAAGAGGCGAGUGGAACUCCUGGUGUAGCGGUGAAAUGCGCAGAUAUCGGGAAGAACACCCGUGGCGAAGGCGGUUCUCUGGGACGGUACUGACGCUGAGACGCGAAAGCGUGGGGAGCGAACAGG